ACAGUGCUGCAUGGCUGUCGUCAGCUCGUGUCGUGAGAUGUUGGUUAAGUCCCGCAACGAGCGCAACCCUUGUCUUUAGUUGCCAUCAUUAAGUUGGGCACUCUAAAGAGACUGCCGGUGGUCAAACCGAAGGAAGGUGGGGAUGACGUCAAGUCCUCAUGGCCUUUAUGACCAGGGCUACACACGUACUACAAUGGCAGGUACAAAGGGCAGCCACUUAGCGAUAAGGCGCGAAUCCCAUAAAACCUGUCUCAGUCCGGAUUGGAGUCUGCAACUCGACUCCAUGAAGUUGGAAUCGCUAGUAAUCGCAGAUCAGCACGCUGCGGUGAAUACGUUCCCGGGCCUU
This 346-nucleotide ribosomal RNA is filed under the name uncultured Desulfocapsa sp. RNAcentral's name for it is "bacterial SSU rRNA". It matches the Rfam family "Bacterial small subunit ribosomal RNA", at positions 1035 to 1382 of the family's 1533-position model. The record is from RNAcentral. Lineage: Bacteria; Pseudomonadati; Thermodesulfobacteriota; Desulfobulbia; Desulfobulbales; Desulfocapsaceae.